AGGGCCAUUCUAUGGGGCCAUUCCAUAGGGCUACUUAAUGUGGCUAUUCUAUAGGGCCAUAUGUAUGGGGUUAUUCUAUAUGGCCAUUCUAUGGGGCAAUUCUAUGGGGCCACUCUAUAGGGCCAUUCUAUGGGGCCAUUCCAUAGGGCCAUUCUAUGGGGCCACUCUAUAGGGCCAUUCUAUGGGGCCAUUCUAUGGGGCCAUUCUAUGGGGUCAUUCUAUGGGGCCAUUCUAUGGGGCCAUUCCAUAGGGUCAUUCUAUGGGGCCAUUCUAUGGGCCCAUUCCAUAGGGCCAUUCUAUGGGGUCAUUCUAUGGGGUCAUACCACAGGUCUAUGCUAUGGGGCCAUGCUAUGGGCUGGUGCUGUGGGGUCUGUGUGGGGCACUCUAUGGGUCUGUAUGGGGCCAUUUAUGGGUCCUGUAUGGGGCCUUCUAUGGGCCCACUCUAUGGGUCUGUAAUGGGGCCAUUCUAUGGGUCUGUAUGGGCCAUUCUAUGGGGCCAUUCUAUGGGUCUGUAUGGGGCCAUUCUAUGGGGCCAUUCUAUGGGGCCAUUCUAUGGGGUCUGUAUGGGGUAUCAAUGGGGUGGCACAAUGGGGAGGUUCUAUGGGGUGGCGCUAUGGGGUGGUGCUAUGUAUUGUCUCUAUGGGGUGGCCCUAUGGGCUGUCCCUAUGUGUUGGCCCUAUGGGGUGGUCCUAUGGGGUGAUGCUAUGGGGUGGCCCUAUGUGUUGGCCCUAUGGGGUGAUGCUAUGGGGUGGCCCUAUAGGUUGGCCCUAUGGGGUGGCCCUUUGGGUUGA
RNAcentral lists this long non-coding RNA (791 nucleotides) under Coturnix japonica (Japanese quail). RNAcentral's name for it is "lncRNA (ENSCJPG00005000639.1)". The record is from RNAcentral. Lineage: Eukaryota; Metazoa; Chordata; Aves; Galliformes; Phasianidae.